RNAcentral lists this ribosomal RNA (428 nucleotides) under Bacteroidota bacterium. Its description in RNAcentral is "Bacteroidetes bacterium partial 16S ribosomal RNA". It matches the Rfam family "Bacterial small subunit ribosomal RNA", at positions 355 to 776 of the family's 1533-position model. Lineage: Bacteria; Pseudomonadati; Bacteroidota. The record is from RNAcentral.
UAGGGAAUCUUCCGCAAUGGACGCAAGUCUGACGGAGCAACGCCGCGUGAGUGAAGAAGGAUUUCGGUUCGUAAAACUCUGUUGUUAGAGAAGAACAGCGCAUAGAGUAACUGUUAUGCGUGUGACGGUAUCUAACCAGAAAGCCACGGCUAACUACGUGCCAGCAGCCGCGGUAAUACGUAGGUGGCAAGCGUUGUCCGGAUUUAUUGGGCGUAAAGCGAGCGCAGGCGGUUAGAAAAGUCUGAAGUGAAAGGCAGUGGCUCAACCAUUGUAGGCUUUGGAAACUGUUUAACUGGAGUGCAGAAGGGGGGAGUGGAAUUCCAUGUGUAGCGGUGAAAUGCGUAGAUAUAUGGAGGAACACCGGUGGCGAAAGCGGCUCUCUGGUCUGUAACUGACGCUGAGGCUCGAAAGCGUGGGGAGCGAACAGG